UUUAGAUGUUUGUUGCAGGGGUGCAGCAAAACGUCAGCUAAUGGAAGAGAAAUUAAUAAGGAUCCACAUUAUUUCCAGAAAUCGAGGCGUGAUCUGUCCUUCAGUGAGUGAAACUGGGUAUUUUCCUAACCAGGAUUUCCUAGCAAGGAGUUUCACAAGAAAAUACAAAGUCAGCUCUUCCCUGCUUACAUGCUACUCUGGGUCUGUUUAUCUCUUCAGUCUCUUUGUUAAUCAGAUCUCAAGAGGCCUCUCCAGUUAUUUUCACCUCUUGGCCCCCCAGUGUCUAAACAAGAAUUUGGGAGUCGGAAGGGCUACCACUACCUCCAACAACCAUUGGCCAGCUCUGCCUUGUUUUGGCAUGGGAGUACAUGGAAGCCCAAAUGAGGAUCAGGACCUCACUGUGCAAGGUGCUGUACUAACACAGAUAGAGACAGUCUCUAUCAUGAAAACCUUACAAUCUAACUACAUAUUGUAAAGAAGAAAGCAUCUCAUUAAGGGAUGAAGUCAUAAAACAGGCAAGAGAACAGUUCUUCAGACUCCCAGCCUAACACCCUGUCCUCUUGACCACUUGCAAGACCCUCUAUUCUAUCUCUUUCUAUCUUUCUAUACCCUCUUCAAGGAAAAAUAUAACUUGGCAGCAUUUAAACAGAAAAAUUUUGACAAGAGCUGACCGAAACUUCGACAUUUCCAUUCUGUGGGAAAAUCUGACAUUUAAAAAAGAAAAAGAAAAAGAAAAAAAAGUUCUGUACAGAUUUGGAACAAAACAAAAUAGAUUUUUCACCAUCACUGUGGCACAGGAAAGCUGCUUUCUUUUUGAUUUCAGAAAAAUGGAAAUAUUUCAGAUCAAUUUUUUCAAAAACCGAAACAGAGCACCUGGCUGCCCCUGACUCCUUGGCACUUGAUGUGAGAUCUCUAUCAUGGAUUCCUGUACCUCUGACAGAUCAGCCUGAGGGCACCAAAUAAGAGGACAUGGUGAAAACUCUCACACUCUUAACUUCCUGGUAACUGCACUUGGAAUUUCCUGCCCCUGCAGAGUAGGCACAUAUACAUUGCUUGGGAUGUGUGCACUGAGGUCCCGUGCAAUGUGAGACAAGAAGCUGAGUGCAAGUUGGCAGGCAUCAAAGAGGCAGGAGAUCAUAGGGAGUUGGCAGGACACACCAAGCAGUUUUAUAAACAGGAAUAAAGAAAAUGUUGAGCGAAUGAAUGUUUUGAGCUCAGCUGGGCUCAUUCUUUUGAGGCUCAGUCUCUCCUUGUUGCUUGAGCUGCCACAGCUCUGGCAUUGACUGCAGGCCUGCUUUGACAUCUUCCGUAAGGUGUUUUGCCCCUCAGAGGGAAAGGCGCAGCAGUCAGACUCACUCAUUCUGUAUUCUUUCUUCCAGUGCAGAGGAAGUGUUGAAUAUUAUCUAAUACUUCAAAUCCUGGUCCCACUGAAGUCAAUGACACAACACCCAUUGAUUUAAACUAGGAUUUAGCCCAUACAUCACUACAAAUGUGGAUUAGGAUUACAUCCAUGGUGGGCAAUUAUUUGGGCUGGAGGGCCAUUUAGGGAGCUUUGGUGAGCUGUUGCGGGCCGGGGUGGUGCUGACUCAGCAUGGUGGAGGGGCGGGGGAAGGGGGCAUUGAUCCUAUCUGGCCUGGGCCUGUCUGCCCCACACCCAUUGCCAGGGGCACUGGAUGGAACGGGUGGGCAUGAAAAGUUUUCAUGGAAACUAGCCCAGGACCCCUGUAGGCAGGGAGUGCUCAGCUGGGUGGAUGGGAUGGAGCCACGGGUGCGCAGAGAGCAGUGUCCAGGAACAGGAGAGGUGGGUAGGGCUAGGAUUGUGAGGCAAUGACAGCUCAGGGCCAGGGCCAGGGCCUGCUCUGUCACUGGUCCACAAUUGCGGCCCUGGCCCUGCCCACUUGUCCAGAAGGAGCUGCCACCACUGGGGUUGGCAGGAAGCUGAAUCUAGCCACUGUGCCGCCCCAUUCCUGUUGCAAACCCGGGAGUGGCAGGACUGGCUGGAUGUGUCACAGCCCGGGCUGCCUGCUGCACCUGGGCUGGGCAGGGCUGAGGGACCUGACACUGCGGGUCAGCUAAAAUCCCUUGGUGGGCCGAAUUAGGCCCACAGGCCAGAUUUUGCCCACCCCAGGAUUACACAAACACUUCAGCACCAGCAGAAAAGAAAGACCUGCUUGCAGAAGCAGUAGUCUUAUGCCAACUGCCCACCUUCAUUAGGUUUGAUUAAGUACUGCUGCCUUGGUGGAAAUGGCCAGUGAAUGGAACAAGUGGGCAUGAGCCUAUCAGAUGGGCAGAGGUCUGGGAAGCCAAGAGACUAUGUAUAUGAUACAUAUAUGCUGAGUGUAGGAUUCUCAGCUGGGAAUAUUUACGUUGCUGUCUGUCCUGAGUUUUCACUUUGACAAAGAAGGAUAUGCCAUUGCUAAUCUAGAUCUGAGCUAGAUUAUUUAUGAAGGAAAAAGAACAUCACCCAUGACCACGAUGGGCUGUGAAGAGCAAUGUGCCUGGAACAGUGAAAGAAAUAUCCCUGCCUCCUCUUCAUUUUCCUUCUGGGAUGUCCCAUGGAAAAUUCUGUGUUUUGGCUAGCUUUUGGCUGAUUAAGUAAAAAAGGAGCUACGAUGGUGAGGGAAGGAUCAAAUAACAUUUACCUUGAAUUAAAUAUUAAUUAAAUAGCAAAUAAAGUUAUUCAUAAGA
Molecule: long non-coding RNA, 2688 nt
Organism: Alligator mississippiensis (American alligator)
Lineage: Eukaryota; Metazoa; Chordata; Crocodylia; Alligatoridae
Exons: 3
Source: RefSeq, a predicted model, not a curated record